Molecule: non-coding RNA, 62 nt
Filed under: Pan troglodytes (chimpanzee)
Lineage: Eukaryota; Metazoa; Chordata; Mammalia; Primates; Hominidae
Source: RNAcentral
ACUGCGUGGGUUCUUUUUUUUUUUUCCUUUCGCUUGGAAGAAAGCGUGAGAUCACGCUUUGU